Molecule: ribosomal RNA, 464 nt
Filed under: Klebsiella pneumoniae
Lineage: Bacteria; Pseudomonadati; Pseudomonadota; Gammaproteobacteria; Enterobacterales; Enterobacteriaceae
Description: bacterial LSU rRNA
Rfam family: Bacterial large subunit ribosomal RNA
Source: RNAcentral
UGCGCGGAAGAUGUAACGGGGCUAAACCAUGCACCGAAGCUGCGGCAGCGACACUAUGUGUUGUUGGGUAGGGGAGCGUUCUGUAAGCCUGCGAAGGUGUGCUGUGAGGCAUGCUGGAGGUAUCAGAAGUGCGAAUGCUGACAUAAGUAACGAUAAAGCGGGUGAAAAGCCCGCUCGCCGGAAGACCAAAGGGUUCCUGUCCAACGUUAAUCGGGGCAGGGUGAGUCGACCCCUAAGGCGAGGCCGAAAGGCGUAGUCGAUGGGAAACAGGUUAAUAUUCCUGUACUUGGUGUUACUGCGAAGGGGGGACGGAGAAGGCUAUGUUAGCCGGGCGACGGUUGUCCCGGUUUAAGCAUGUAGGCUGGUUAUCCAGGCAAAUCCGGAUAAUCAAGGCUGAGGUGUGAUGACGAGGCACUACGGUGCUGAAGUAACAAAUGCCCUGCUUCCAGGAAAAGCCUCUAAGC